RNAcentral lists this long non-coding RNA (5042 nucleotides) under Sus scrofa (pig). Its description in RNAcentral is "lncRNA (ENSSSCG00000057947.1)". Lineage: Eukaryota; Metazoa; Chordata; Mammalia; Artiodactyla; Suidae. The record is from RNAcentral.
UUUUUUUUUUUUUUUUUUUUUUUUUGCUUUUCAGGGCUGUACCUGCAGCAUAUGAAAGUUCCCACGCUAGGGCUCGAAUCCAAGCCUCAGCUGCUGGCCUACGCCACAGCCACCGCAAUGCAGGACCCGAGCCGCAUCUUUCCAGCUGCAGUGUAGGAUCUUUAACCCACUGAGGGAGCCCAGGGAUCGAACCCGCAUCCUCAUGGAUACUAGUCAGCGUUGUUACUGCUGAGCCACCACGGGAACUCCAGAUCAUUCUUUACUACUUCAGAGACAGGAGGCAGCUUAAGGGAGACUUCAGAAGAACAGCCUUGCUCCAGAAUCCCUGACUGGAACAAGGGCUUGGACAGCUCGGCGGUGUGUCCCCAGCACACCAAGCCUAGGAAGUGCCCUCUUCUGGGGGCUUCCCAACAGUCCCUCCUGGGGACAGCUUUGCUCAUUGGCAUGGGGCAGGCUCACAGUGUGAGACUGGGAAAUGGGGAAAGGGCUGGGGGACCAGCCCUGUAGGUCCAAAGUCAGAGGCCCCCUGCAUGGAGCUACAUAGGAGCCUGGGAAGAGGAGUCCACAUUCUAGGCUGUCCUGGGCUUGAGCAGAAUCCCACGGACUGCCUUGGGUAUGUAACCUCUCUGAGCUCACCUGGCACAUCUGCCUAACGGGCCUCAUCAUACUUUCCUCGUAGGCUGGCCUGAAGCGUGCAUCAUCACACAGCAGCUGGCAUGCCACCCGUUACCUUCAGUUCCCUCUUCAGCAGAGGGGGAGAGGGCCAGGCAGAUGUGGGUGACAGGGAGAGAGAGAGGAGAGAAGCUCCAAGCUCAAGGGAAAGUGGGAGGAGUCCUGGUCUCCCUACCUCUGACCUCUGCCCAAAUGGUCCCUUGACAGUCUUUAAACCUUCAGAAGUUGCCCAUCAGCCAAGAGGGGCGGGGUGUGAGGGCCUAUGGCCCAAAGGUUACGAAAGGUCGCCACUAAUUAAGGCCCAUCUGAUAAUUACAGUCAGAAACCUAGUUGAUCUUCUGAACAUUCCCUCCCCAAAGGCAUGGCUACAAAAGAGACCAAGGGACAAAUGCUUGUUCACUGUCCUCCAAGACCUAGCAAAAACCCCAAGCUUCCUCCACCAGAUGCUCGCUCUUCUCUUGCCCUCAUCAUCACCUUUUCUCAUGCAGCGCUCUCGUGAAGCCAAAUGAACUUAAUUUUUUAAAAAUGUCCAUUAGAGUUGUUCCCUAAUAGAAUUCUAGCCCAGGCUCUGCCACUGUGACUUUAGGCAAGUUCCUCCAUCUCUCUGUGCUUGGAAUCUACAUUUUUAAACAUGGAUGAACUAGACCUAGGUUCCAACCUCAAGUUCCAUGGAUGGACUUUAAAAAUUGGGUAAUGCUGGCUGCAUCCCAGCAGCGAACUAGGUAGCCCAGGGGCCGCUUACCAUUGUACCAUAUUCCCUUCUGUAUCUUUCAAAUUUUGAACCAAAGGAAUGUAUGAGCUAUUCAAAAAUAGUUUAUAUUAAAAAGAAAUGUAUGCAAGUCCAUGUGUGUGUGUGGGGGGGCAGAACACCUAUACUUUCUGAAGAAGGAUCCAUCAUUUUCAUCAAUUUUUUCUAAGAUAUCUCUGACCCCAGAAAGGUUUCAAAAGCAUUUCACUAGCUGCCCUUAAGGGCCAUUCCCUGUCCCAAUUUCCUUGAUUUGACAAAGUAUAAGAGAAAAACAAAAGUGAAUUUCAGUACUCACACGUUAACAGCCUGGGCUGGAUGGAUGAACAUGAAAACGUGUCCUCGGAUCACAUUUAACAACAUAGCCGCGCCCGCCCACAUGAGCCUGGCAGGUGCAGACGUGAGUGCCGGGCUUGACACGGUGAGCUAACCUCACUGGAGUUCUCCCCUCUUAGAGCUUUCAGAGAUCAAGGUCAAAAAAUGACCGCCAUCAGCCCAGUCUCUCAAAGCUGCUGAAUUAGGUCCUCCUUGCCCCACCCCUGUGCCCACUCAAAGAAACACUCAGCUUAAAUGAGUUGCACACACAAUGCAUAUAGAUUAAAACGAUAUGGAUUUUUAAACGUUGGCCACUUUGGCUCAGAGGGGGAAGGGAAUGAGAAGGAGGAAAUGGAAGAGGUGGGGUGAUCCAGGGUGACUGCAGACGAAGAAUGACUAGACUCAUCCAGAGACCUCCGUCUGCAUCUCUGAAACCCACAAGAAUCCUCUUGCACCGAAGAGGAAAAUGAGUCCUGGGCACGCAAUGUGCGAAGCUCCAGGGUAGGGGGAAAUCUAACCGAGGGAUCAAGGCAAGACUGGUGAAGGCAAACAGUCUAGCAGCUGAAUGGGUCAGAGCAAAGAGAAAGAUCACACGGUUCCUAAAAAAGAGAAGGGGCAGCCGCCAUUUAACAAAUGGCCCCCGGCGACGGUAAACUUUAAUUAAACGCACCAUUAUAAUUCACUUCCACUCCAACCUGUCCCUUCUCCUCCCCCAGGUCUCACCAAAGCAGCUUUCCUUAGUGAAACCCAACUGGCCAGCCUGUGCUGGAUGCUUCAUUAUUACAGCUCCUGCCUCUCCCGCUAAGAAGGCAGCCAGCAACAAGAAGAGAGAGAAAACUACAGUUUUCAACUCUUAAUGACAGGCCACUUUCCUACCUACGUGCACUAAAUCAAGGGUCUCGUAAUCCUAAAAGUUCCUGAAAGUAAUACCUGAAAGCAAUGACGAGACAGUGGCAGGCCAGCAGGAACGGAUGUGCACACGGAGGCAGGUAACAGGGCCAGUUCCCACUUGGAGCCACUGGACUGUACUCCCAGCGUUCACACCAGGACGGAUCAGUCACACGUGGAAAUUAACACACACAGCUCAACGCUGUGGCUGCACCCACUGCGCCUUCAUUCAGUGGUGGUUUAAUUACACCCGUGACACCCUAUCUCUGUGUUCUCAGGCUGCUGAGCUUUGCCCAUUUUAUGAGUGUGUGCAGUGGGAGUGGGGGUUGGGAGCACCUCCGAGGAUCUUCCAGGCGAAACAUGCUUGGUUUUUAUUAAUGAGCUUAUGAGAAAAGCCAACCCAGACCUUUAAGUGAAACGUGUGAUUGGUAGCCAGGCGAGGAUAGGUUUUAGAAUUAACUCUUCUUACAGUCUGCUAUACAUUAUCACCCCCAAGUUAAUUACCCCUGAGGAUGAAAAUAGGUUUCAUGACUCAUAAGCACCAAUACAACACUUGGCAGCAGAUGAAAAUGCAAGGACACAUUUGCAGGAAGCUGACACGCACAUCUAUUUAUAUGUGGGGAGAUUCUUAAAGAGGUGAGACAGGCACCUCCCGGGUACCAGGAUUAAGAAGCUGCGGCAGAUCCAUCAACUGCCAUUUAUCUAUACCUCCAAACACACACAACGCAGUCAUAUGCUUUCCACUGCUUCAGUGAUGGUGGCAAAGCAGGAACAGAAACUAAAAGGGUGUUAUUAACAAGCAAGUCUGAACACCAACCCAACCUCUACACCGGUGUGCUGGGCUGGUUAGUGAUUUGUUUUUCCCCAAAUGCUGCUGCGCCCCUACCCACCUCCCAACCCUCCCGGCUCCCCCUUCGAUGGGAGCAGGGUGGGGGGUCGCCAAGUCUCUCCGCUCAUUUGCUAUUCCUCUGGCCCUGUGGGGACCAUCCUGGCCCACUUGCCCCGACCACAAGUGGGGUGUGGCCAAGGGAUGGAUUUCUGCUAGGAUCCAGGGUUGUGCCUUCUCCCUCCUGUGUCCUACUCUCCUUCCGUUUACCUCCCAGGAAAGUACAAGGUUCAAACCAGGUGUUUGCCUUCCCUGAGCUCCAGGAGGGCUCCCAUCUGGUCUCAACCAAGGGGCCCAGAGCCCUGAAGGACAGUUCACUCCCAUCCCCUUCCCUCUGUACCUCUCAAAUGCCGCCAAAAAGUCCAUUAGAUGAAUAACUGCAUUUCUUCACCCCGGGAAUGGGUUCUAUUUGGUGUCAAAAGCGAUCUCUGCCCAGGAACUGAGUUUGGGGUUCUCUCUCUCUCCCACUCUCUGCAACCAGCUAAGGGUCCAGCCUUCAAAAAUUAUUAUCAAAGAGUGGAGAAAGGAAAAAACACGUUAUGAAUGAGGUGAAACUGCUCUUCAAUGCAUCCGCUGGAAGCUGCCGGGAAACCUCCUGGCUGAGGACAUGGAUUUGCUUCCCACUUCCCACACCCCUCCUGCCUCCAGCGCCCGCUCCCAGCUCUGUGGCAAUUUCUGCUUUAAAUGCGCAGUAACAGUAAUUUCUGCCACACCUAGACGGCAAAGGACCCCAGUUUUUUCCUGUUCCCCCCACCCCAAGUGCCCAAGUCGCAGCUGCACUGGCUAUCUGCACAUGCUCAGGACCACAGGGUGAGGCACCCAAAAGCAUUCCCGACAAUGCCAUCUGCAGCUGUGGUGCACAUCCAGGCUCAAACAGAGACGCUGAGGAGUAAACAGAAAUCGCUUAGUCAGCAACUGUCCGGGAGCCCCAAGAGGUGACUGUAAAUAGCCUGGUACUGAGGAGGAGGGGCAGUCAGCUCGCACAGGGCUUUCUACAGAUGCCACCCCUGAUGGCUUUCAAAGGCACCAGCAUUUGUGUUCCUUGUUGGGUUAGGGAAGGUGUCCCCCGUGUUGGAGCUGUGUGGUCUUCGUCCUAGAAAAACACACUUGCUGACUCGGGGCAGAAUUAAUAUCAAUUGAAUUUAUUACAAGUUACUAAGCUCCAAGGCACAUUACAGUGUUCUGUUAACUACAGAAAUGUAUAAAGGACAAACAGAGCAGAUUCUCCAUGUCUAGCAUUUCGCUCUACUGUUCAAAAGCAUCCGUGCAUCAAUAAAGCAAAAACAAAACAACACGUGAAGAUCCAACACAUUCAGGUCAGUAGAAACAAACCAAAACAUUUUCCCUCACAAACUUGCAACAGAAAACACCCCCCCAACACCCCCCUUACCAUUUUGCAAAAACAGGAAAACAGAACAGAACAGAACAGAACAAAAUAAAGUGAAGACUUCAACACUUGGGGCUGUUUAGAAAGAAGCUCUCACCAUUUUAUAGCAUUUUUUUUUUUUUUUUUUUUUUUUUUAGGCAGCAACACUG